Molecule: ribosomal RNA, 220 nt
Filed under: uncultured bacterium
Lineage: Bacteria
Description: partial 16S ribosomal RNA
Rfam family: Bacterial small subunit ribosomal RNA
Source: RNAcentral
GCAAGUCGAGCGCAUCCUUCGGGAUGAGCGGCGGACGGGUUAGUAACGCGUGGGAACGUACCCUUUUCUACGGAAUAGCCUCGGGAAACUGAGAGUAAUACCGUAUACGCCCUUCGGGGGAAAGAUUUAUCGGAGAAGGAUCGGCCCGCGUUUGAUUAGGUAGUUGGUGGGGUAAUGGCCUACCAAGCCUACGAUCUAUAGCUGGUUUGAGAGGAUGAUC